UACAGAGGGUGCGAGCGUUGUCCGGAAUCACUGGGCGUAAAGGGCGCGUAGGCGGUGGCGUAAGCGUGCGGUGAAAGCUCGGGGCUCAACCCCGAGUCGGCCGUGCGAACUGGGCCACUGGAGCAGAUCAGAGGCAGGCGGAAUUCCGGGUGUAGCGGUGGAAUGCGUAGAGAUCCGGAAGAACACCGGUGGCGAAGGCGGCCUGCUGGGAUCUUGCUGACGCUGAGGCGCGACAGCGUGGGGAGCAAACAGG
This 253-nucleotide ribosomal RNA is filed under the name uncultured bacterium. RNAcentral's name for it is "partial 16S ribosomal RNA". It matches the Rfam family "Bacterial small subunit ribosomal RNA", at positions 524 to 776 of the family's 1533-position model. The record is from RNAcentral.